This 260-nucleotide ribosomal RNA is filed under the name uncultured bacterium. RNAcentral describes it as "partial 16S ribosomal RNA". It matches the Rfam family "Bacterial small subunit ribosomal RNA", at positions 524 to 783 of the family's 1533-position model. The record is from RNAcentral.
UACGAAGGGGGCUAGCGUUGUUCGGAUUUACUGGGCGUAAAGCGCACGUAGGCGGAUUGUUAAGUCAGGGGUGAAAUCCUGGAGCUCAACUCCAGAACUGCCUUUGAUACUGGCAAUCUUGAGUCCGGAAGAGGUGAGUGGAACUCCUAGUGUAGAGGUGGAAUUCGUAGAUAUUAGGAAGAACACCAGUGGCGAAGGCGGCUCACUGGUCCGGUACUGACGCUGAGGUGCGAAAGCGUGGGGAGCAAACAGGGAUAGAA